This 440-nucleotide ribosomal RNA is filed under the name uncultured bacterium. RNAcentral describes it as "bacterial SSU rRNA". It matches the Rfam family "Bacterial small subunit ribosomal RNA", at positions 338 to 771 of the family's 1533-position model. The record is from RNAcentral.
CCUACGGGAGGCAGCAGUGGGGAAUCUUGCGCAAUGGGCGAAAGCCUGACGCAGCGACGCCGCGUGAGCGAUGAAGGCCUUCGGGUUGUAAAGCUCUGUGGGGAGGAAAGAAUAAGGGUUGGCUAAUAUCCAGCUCGAUGACGGUACCUCCUUAGCAAGCACCGGCUAACUCUGUGCCAGCAGCCGCGGUAAGACAGAGGGUGCAAACGUUGUUCGGAAUUACUGGGCGUAAAGCGCGUGUAGGCGGCCCUGCAAGUCGGGUGUGAAAUCCCACGGCUCAACCGUGGAAGUGCACUCGAAACUGCAGGGCUAGAGUCCUGGAGAGGAAGGUGGAAUGCUUGGUGUAGAGGUGAAAUUCGUAGAUAUCAAGCGGAACACCGGUGGCGAAGGCGGCCUUCUGGACAGUGACUGACGCUGAGACGCGAAAGCGUGGGGAGCAA